AGGGCAGCAGCGAAAUCACGCUGGACACCGAUUCUGGUGUAGAGGACGACGACUUCAGCUUCGUUACGUCCCCUGCCAGAACCAACACAACAUCAAUUUUGGAACCAGUGGCCAGCGGUGACGGAGUGGUCUGUGGUGCUGUGAAACCAUCGGGAACGACGACAGGAAUGGCUAAAUACCGGGAGAAGCUACCGAUGCCACCAGAGAAACAAAUUUCAUCUCGUCUUAAUAGCCUUGGCCAGUGGAGACGGAAAGUGGUCCGGCUCGGUCGCGGAAAGUGGUUCAAUUCCGCUCUGUAUGAGCAAUAGUGAUGAGCUUAGCGAAAACCCCUUCAAUCGGAUCAAGAGCCAACAGAUCCGGCGUCCCUAAAACCAACGGAACCGAUCCUGCAGUGUGUCAUCAAAGCGGCCAUGAACGAGGAGAUUUAGAAAGCGUCCAGCUGGGUGGUUCCGAUGAACGCCGCACCGUCGUUCCUAGUAGGUUUCUUUCUUAACGCGAUAGACAGCUACGUCCCACCCUAACAGUGAAGUUCCGGAUGAGUACAACAAACAUUGGCGGGACAUGGUUGGCGUCGAAGGUCAAAACCGGCCGCAGGAGGAUGGCCAACAGUGACAUGUCCGGAGAAUUAUGCAAUAGAAUUUAGGAAAGAUCUUGGUAUGCCCAUCAACUUCCAAGAGCUGAUCCAGUUGCCCUGGACAAAAGAAAUUGGCCCAUCAUUCAGCACUUCUAAGCUGUAUCGGACCUCCUUGGAGUUGCAUCGUGUCAAGAACACGUGCGCGUGGAAGGCUUUAGUCUGCCAAAAGGGGCCGGCACUAGACAAAUAGCUCGUCGACGGAACUGACCUCGCAGUUCAACAACAAAGCGGACCAGAAGCUGAGCAUCGUUGACCGAGGAGAAAAUGGAAGCUGUCCUGCUGGUUGGUUACGGCGAAGUUACGCCCAGAUGAUUCCGGCCGCCACAGACUUAAUUCCGGCCCAACGUGAGUGAGGAUAGCCGGGCACGUAGGACACGUGCAAUACAUCGGUGCUAGAAGCGGAUAUAUCCAACCUGGGUGUACGCAAUCAUCUUUUUAAGAACUCAAGAGAUUCGCCGACGGAUUAAAACAGCUCGAUUAGGAUCCCGCGAUGGCCGU
Culex pipiens pallens (northern house mosquito) is the source of this 1132-nucleotide long non-coding RNA. RefSeq lists it as uncharacterized. Lineage: Eukaryota; Metazoa; Arthropoda; Insecta; Diptera; Culicidae. The record is from RefSeq and is a predicted model, not a curated record. The transcript has 3 exons.